Molecule: ribosomal RNA, 254 nt
Filed under: uncultured bacterium
Lineage: Bacteria
Description: partial 16S ribosomal RNA
Rfam family: Bacterial small subunit ribosomal RNA
Source: RNAcentral
UACGUAGGGUGCGAGCGUUAAUCGGAAUUACUGGGCGUAAAGUGUGCGCAGGCGGCUUCGCAAGUCGAGUGUGAAAUCCCCCGAGCUUAACUUGGGAAUUGCGCUCGAAACUACGGGGCUGGAGUGUGGCAGAGGAAGGUGGAAUUCCACGUGUAGCGGUGAAAUGCGUAGAGAUGUGGAGGAACACCGAUGGCGAAGGCAGCCUUCUGGGCCAACACUGACGCUCAUGCACGAAAGCGUGGGGAGCAAACAGG